UCUACUGAUUUGAUUCCAUCAAUCUUGAAUGUUGUCCUUCAGAUUCCCUCUAGGGUACUCGUAAGAACACAAUAAAGAUUCACCAUACAUCUCCAGAAGGAAAACUUUGAAUUUAACAGGAUCGAUCUGCUGUAUGAAGCAUUGAUGUUCCAACAAAUGCACCUUUUCGCGACAGACGUGACACUUGCCAUAAUGACAUCGAUGGGGUUUUUUCAGUUCAGAUGUAACUAUCUCUUAACAACAGAGUGGACAACGAAUGAGAGUCUGACGAAUCUGAUGCCUCCUCUACGAUGCUCAACACGCUUUGCUCGACAAGUUGUGGAAGUCGAUGGAACAUCUUACGCGUGUUUUCUAUACCUGAUCAUGAUUGACUUGUCCAUGAGAGGUGCUACGGUCACUCCCUGCUCUCAUCGACGCAUCCAUCGUUCGUGUUUUCGUCGUCUUAGAACCACCUCAGACCAAUGUGGACAUUGUCGAGCACCCUUUGCUGUUCCUGCUGCUGCUGCCAUUCCCAACGAGGACGUGACGAAUAGGGAACAACAACGCCAACAAGCCAUACGGGAUUUGGAAGCCUUGUUGGAACCGGGAGCCAUCAAGGAACGGAUUACCAAUGUAAGAAGUGAUUCUAAUGCAGAUACUUUUAUGAAUUGUGAAACUUAUUAGGAUAUGUUUAGGUAUAUUUCAACAUGCAAUUUUUUUCAGUGGUAUUAUCCCACUUUUUGUUGUGGAAGGUGUCAUUAUGACUUCUAUUAUUUUCUGGUUCGUCAUUCCAAUGACGAUUUUACGAUACAGAGAUAUGACGCAUGUGAGUUACUUUGCCCAAAAGUGAUUAUGUGACUUUUUUCAAUUUUUAGCAUUGUAGAAUAUUUCCCCACCAUGAUGCUGGUUUGGACAAAACGUGGGGUAGGCCAGGGCCAAAGCCAUGGUGUAGGCCAUGGCCUACCCUAUGGCCUACCCUAUGGCCUACCGGUGGUCAGAUUUUUAAAAACAUAAAAAUGAAAUCAGUAAGAGUCGAACAAAUACGCUGGCGUACAAUUCUAUGUCUCUAAAAAGGGUAUAUUAAGAGGUCGCUAGCAUGAUUUUCAACGUUCGAGAGAACGAAACAUUUGAUGCAGAUAUUACAGCACUCACCCAAGCGCUCAACCAUAACGUUAGGUUUAAGGGGGAGGGGAGAGAAGGGGCCAAUAUUGCCUGGUCGCAGAGGACUUGUAAAAUGGCGGCUUCACAACACAGGCGGUCAGUUGGUAACAUAUCGUGGAGUGCUAGUGUAAAAAUGCAAUGAACGGCGUUAUAUCGGCGAACAUAUCCAGGAACUGGUCAAAAACUAUAAUGGAUGGGCUGCAGCAGAGAUGGGGUGACAUCCCUGGAAGACGAUCAGCCCGUACAAAAGUGCCAGUGGAGCUGUUCUCUUUUCUGGAUUUUGGUCCAACAGGAUCAUCUGAGACAGACCUGUGAAUACCAUUGGACAAAGGGUUUGGAUUUCUUUUAUGAUCUCCGAAAAAUUUCGCUUUCUCAAGCCAAGAUAUCCCCUUGAUCUAAGAACCAAGUUCGUCCCUCUUCUUGUCACUUCCACUAACUCUCUGUCAACUUGGUUCCUAAGGCUUGACAGCAUCUCAGUUCCAGAAUCUGUCUUACUAGUGCUUGUUGUCUACAUAAAAUUUUUGUCCAGGUAAAGGUUAUUAUAAAAAAAUAUCUCCAGCAGCUGUAGGUUAUUUGUGAUUAAAUGAACACUGGCACAUCAAACUAUGUAAACAAAGGAAAGUGAACAAGUAUGCGCAUGCAUGCAAUUGUGUACACGUGCAUAUUUUUCCUCUUCUCAAGAAAAUAGGUACUAGAAAAAAGAUUGCGGUUAAACGAGCACGAAAAAAAUAUGUGUACAAAUUCAUCUGGUCUUGGAAUGAGGAAGAGGAAUGUUAUGUUGUUCUGUCAAAAAAUAAAGUUUUUAAGGAAAGACAUAAUAUUAGUGAGGGCAUGUUUUUGCAUCCAUUGUAGGAUCCUGUGAAAUGGCAUUAUUUUG
Stylophora pistillata is the source of this 2017-nucleotide unclassified non-coding RNA. The record is from RefSeq and is a predicted model, not a curated record. Lineage: Eukaryota; Metazoa; Cnidaria; Anthozoa; Scleractinia; Pocilloporidae.